CGCCUUGGCAAGACGUAAAUUUUUCAAAGUGACAUUUCAAAGUGAUCUCAGAGGAGUGAAGAUUGUCAAGAGUUCAGUGCAUAGAAAGAUGUCGGACGGACUUCCAGGAGAGAAUCUCGGAGAGAAUCUCGGAGACGAUCGCGAAGAGGAGCUCGGUGAGGAAAAUCACGAGCAGGAAGUGGGGUUAGGUUCCCAGGGAUCAACGGCAGAGUCUCUGCGCGAGAUCGAGGAUUCGGGAGACGAGGACGAGGAACAGCCCCCCCCCCCCAAAGAGGCACUGUCCGGCAGUAAACCCACAGAUUGAGAAACAAACAGAAGAGACAGGCGAAGGCCACGCCAGCCCAAAUCGAUUAUAUGGUUGAUUAUUUUAUCUAGCAUCCGCACAUCGCAACAGGGAAAUUUCAAUCUCUCCAUGGAAAAUCGGAUUUGGCCGCGUCGUGGGAGCAACUCGUGGAGGAACUAAACAAGAUGGGAAAAGAUGAGAGAGGGAAAGACGUAAAAUCAUGGAAAUCAACGUGGUGAGACAACAAGACCACUGUGUCGCAAAAAGUAGCGAAAAUUCGAGCAAAUCGUUCGAGGACAAGGAAUAUUGGUGGCCCUUGAGUAAAACCGACCGAACGAGAGGAAAAAAUUAUGGGCAUUAUGGGCUUCGAUUACGUGGAAGGAGUGGAAUGCCCUGAUGCCUUUCCCGAAGAACAGUUUAACGCCAUAGAGCUACUGGCAGAAGGAGACGAGAGCAUACUCGAUGAGGAUGGCAGCAUCUUAACUUUGCAAGACUACGUCGAGGCCGGUGCUCUCGAUUACACUAAUA
Long non-coding RNA from Neodiprion fabricii, 811 nucleotides. RefSeq lists it as uncharacterized. NCBI's taxonomy places the organism in Eukaryota, Metazoa, Arthropoda, Insecta, Hymenoptera, Diprionidae. The record is from RefSeq and is a predicted model, not a curated record. The transcript has 4 exons.